GACCUCGGAUCAGACGUGAGUACCCGCUGAACUUAAGCAUAUCACUAAGCGGAGGAAAAGAAACUAACC
This 69-nucleotide ribosomal RNA is filed under the name Paragonimus westermani. RNAcentral describes it as "partial 28S ribosomal RNA". It matches the Rfam family "Eukaryotic large subunit ribosomal RNA", at positions 1 to 70 of the family's 3401-position model. Lineage: Eukaryota; Metazoa; Platyhelminthes; Trematoda; Plagiorchiida; Troglotrematidae. The record is from RNAcentral.